Molecule: long non-coding RNA, 467 nt
Filed under: Cavia porcellus (domestic guinea pig)
Lineage: Eukaryota; Metazoa; Chordata; Mammalia; Rodentia; Caviidae
Description: lncRNA (ENSCPOG00000040117.1)
Source: RNAcentral
CGCCCUACGCUGCACCUGGCGCCGGGCGGGCCCCGCGAGGCUGCCGCAGUUCUCUGAGUGGAGAAGCCGCGGGCCGGGCCGGGCCGCGACUGGUAAUGGCAGACGGCAGACGCGGCCAGCCCUGGUGCUGGCGCUCCGCAGCUCUUUGCAUUUCACCUGGGAGGAGGAGAGGGGAGAGAAUUAGGAGGAACCAAGCGUCUGGAGACAGCUGCAGCCCAUCUCACAGGACAGGUGGAUUCAGGAGAUGGCAGGCGCCUGGCACACCACAGUGGAGCAGGAGUUCCACCUGUUUUCUGCAGAGUCUAAGGAAGCAGAGCCCCUGGCAGCCUCUGAAGCCAGUCCUCCCAGACCCUGAGCCCCGGAAGCCAGUCCCCCAUCUGGAUCCAUGUGUUUACCUGUGUCCUCAUCUGCUAUGCUCUGCCACCUGGAUGGUGGGGGCCAGGGCUUUGCCUGGGGAUGUGACCUGA